AAGGGAUGACGCAACAGUGCAAAGCAACUGGGAAACAGGACCUGCUUCCGCUUCUCUUUCCCAUCGAUAAAAUCAGCCAAGCAAAAACAUCUUCCUGCUGUGUCAGAAUACAUGUAGAAUGAAAGACAACACACAGAGGAGCCCGCUCCCUUUGUCAUUAGGACCAAUGCCUGCAAGUCACAAGCAAGCUGGGAUGGCAUCCCAGGGCUCUCUGGGAGGCCCAGCCACGGGGUGAAGCUCUGGCUCAACUCAGCUACUUCCAACAACCGACCGAG
Long non-coding RNA from Hemicordylus capensis (graceful crag lizard), 275 nucleotides. RefSeq lists it as uncharacterized. NCBI's taxonomy places the organism in Eukaryota, Metazoa, Chordata, Lepidosauria, Squamata, Cordylidae. The record is from RefSeq and is a predicted model, not a curated record. The transcript is spliced from 2 exons.